RNAcentral lists this ribosomal RNA (830 nucleotides) under uncultured bacterium. RNAcentral's name for it is "bacterial SSU rRNA". It matches the Rfam family "Bacterial small subunit ribosomal RNA", at positions 20 to 868 of the family's 1533-position model. The record is from RNAcentral.
GGCCGCGGGAAUCCCUUUCAGGCCUAACACAUGCAAGUCGAACGGAAAGGCCCCGCUUGCAGGGUACUCGAGUGGCGAACGGGUGAGUAACACGUGGGUGAUCUGCCCUGCACUUCGGGAUAAGCCUGGGAAACUGGGUCUAAUACCGGAUAGGACCAUCGUUUAGUGUCGGUGGUGGAAAGUUUUUCGGUGCAGGAUGAGCUCGCGGCCUAUCAGCUUGUUGGUGGGGUAAUGGCCUACCAAGGCGUCGACGGGUAGCCGGCCUGAGAGGGUGGACGGCCACAUUGGGACUGAGACACGGCCCAGACUCCUACGGGAGGCAGCAGUGGGGAAUAUUGCACAAUGGGCGCAGGCCUGAUGCAGCGACGCCGCGUGGGGGAUGAAGGCCUUCGGGUUGUAAACUCCUUUCAACCAUGACGAAGCAUUUUGUGACGGUAGUGGUAGAAGAAGCACCGGCUAACUACGUGCCAGCAGCCGCGGUAAUACGUAGGGUGCGAGCGUUGUCCGGAAUUACUGGGCGUAAAGAGCUCGUAGGUGGUUUGUCGCGUCGUCUGUGAAAUUCCGGGGCUUAACUCCGGGCGUGCAGGCGAUACGGGCAUAACUUGAGUGCUGUAGGGGAGACUGGAAUUCCUGGUGUAGCGGUGAAAUGCGCAGAUAUCAGGAGGAACACCGAUGGCGAAGGCAGGUCUCUGGGCAGUAACUGACGCUGAGGAGCGAAAGCAUGGGUAGCGAACAGGAUUAGAUACCCUGGUAGUCCAUGCCGUAAACGGUGGGCGCUAGGUGUGGGGGUCUUCCACGACUUCUGUGCCGUAGCUAACGCAUUAAGCGCC